Tripterygium wilfordii is the source of this 1725-nucleotide RNA transcript. It is a transcript of the gene named probable E3 ubiquitin-protein ligase LUL4, with no coding region annotated. The transcript has 5 exons. Lineage: Eukaryota; Viridiplantae; Streptophyta; Magnoliopsida; Celastrales; Celastraceae. The record is from RefSeq and is a predicted model, not a curated record.
AAUAGUGUAUUUGACAAGUUAAGAGAGAAACGACGAAAAUUCACCUUCUUCAACUUCUCUGCAACCAAUUUUUCCUAACUUUCCUUCCCAUUUCACCUUCCCUUCUUCAAACCCUUCUCUCUCCCUCAGAUGGGAAUUUCAUGGAGCACCAACAGAAGAAGAAACCGCGCUUACCCACCACCUCCACUAGCACCACCGCCUUACUACCACUACUCCACAGAACCACCCCCACUACCGCCACAUAACUACCACUUCACCACCACCAAUUCGAGCACUGCAACCCCUUAUCCUUUCUCACAGAACCCACCUCCGCCUCCUCCGCCGCCGCCAGUUCACCCAUACUACAAUUCUUACAGUUAUGGGAAUCACUCGAUUCCUCGCUACAAUCACCACCACUACCACUACCACCAGCCUUACAAUUUCAAUUAUGCCCCUCCUCAGACUAAUGGUUGGCCCGCAGUUCGCGCUCCUGCUGCUUCCGUGCAAUCUCCGCUGCCGCCUUACGUGGAGCACCAGAACGCAAAGAAGAUCAGGAAUGAUGUCAAUGUCCAUAAAGAUACGUUGCGUGUGGAGAUAGACGAGCAGAACCCGGAUCAAUACUUGGUUUCUUUUGUUUUCGACGCUUUGUUUGAUGGGAGCAUUACUAUUCUCUACUUCGCAAAGGAAGAGUCAGAUUGUAGAUUUGUUCCGCUAUUUCCUGAAGCGUAUAUGCCAGUAAAAAUCCCCUUUCGGAAAGGACUGGGACAGAGAUUUUGUCAGCCUUCAGGAACAGGAAUUGACUUGGGCUUCUUUGAGUUGGAUGAUCUCCGUAAACCUUCUGCUGAAGAAGAUAUCUUUCCUCUUGUAGUAUCUGCCGAAACAUGCUCAUCUACAAAUUCAAUAGAUGAACCUGAACAUGAAAAGAUACCUGUUCAUAUGCAGAUUACCCAAGCUGUUCUAGAGAAGAAUAAUGACGACCUUUUUCAAGUAAAAGUGAUCAGGCAGAUUUUGUGGAUAGAUGGCGUACGCUAUGAGCUACGCGAGAUAUUCGGAAUUGCAAGCUCAUCAGCAGAAGAGUUUAAUGAUAGUGACACCGGGAAGGAAUGUGUAAUUUGCAUGACUGACCCUAAGGAUACCGCGGUACUACCCUGCCGACAUAUGUGUAUGUGCAGCGAAUGUGCAAAGGCCUUAAGGCUUCAAUCAAAUAAGUGUCCCAUCUGUCGUCAACCCAUUGAGGAACUUAUAGAGAUCAAGAUAAAUAAUAGUUGUCAAUGAGAGAUUAUUUUCUCCAUACUAUGUGUUAUAGGUGAUGAUCAUGCUAGAUCAAUCUCGCAAAGUUUUAAGUCAUCAUGCGUGUGUGAACAUGGAGGAUACGAAAGGCAAGAAAGACACACAGAGAAACCAGACUGGAUGUACAUUCUAGAUUCUAGAGAGUACCUUUCUCCUUUGGGCCAACAUCCAAAAAGAUAAACUGAAGAAUGUUUGAGAUACAAGUUAGAGCACCAAACCAAGAAUCUCAAAAGCUUGCAUGUACCUUUAGUGUGGAUAUUACAUUUGAACAGUGGGGUUGAUACUUGAUACCCAUAUCUCCCUCUCCCCGCUUUCAUAUUGACAUAUCUGGUUCUUGUUGCCUGUUCUGCUUUUUUUCUUUUUGGUCUUUUUUUUGUUCAUGCUUGUUGUACCAUGUUGAAUUUUUUCUUUUGGGUCUGCUGCUUAAUAUCAUUGAGGAUUCCACUGCAAGUUCCA